This 301-nucleotide ribosomal RNA is filed under the name uncultured bacterium. RNAcentral describes it as "partial 16S ribosomal RNA". It matches the Rfam family "Bacterial small subunit ribosomal RNA", at positions 509 to 807 of the family's 1533-position model. The record is from RNAcentral.
CAGCAGCCGCGGUAAUACGAGGGGAGCUAGCGUUAUUCGGAAUUACUGGGCGUAAAGCGCACGUAGGCGGCUUUGUAAGUUAGAGGUGAAAGCCCAGAGCUCAACUCUGGAAUUGCCUUUAAGACUGCAUCGCUUGAAUCCAGGAGAGGUGAGUGGAAUUCCGAGUGUAGAGGUGAAAUUCGUAGAUAUUCGGAAGAACACCAGUGGCGAAGGCGGCUCACUGGACUGGUAUUGACGCUGAGGUGCGAAAGCGUGGGGAGCAAACAGGAUUAGAUACCCCAGUAGUCCCUGUCUCUUAUAC